Molecule: non-coding RNA, 21 nt
Filed under: Arabidopsis thaliana (thale cress)
Lineage: Eukaryota; Viridiplantae; Streptophyta; Magnoliopsida; Brassicales; Brassicaceae
Source: RNAcentral
UAGAUGAGGGUAAUUUGGUAA